UACGUAGGGGGCAAGCGUUAUCCGGAUUUACUGGGUGUAAAGGGAGCGUAGGCGGCUGUGUAAGCCAGAAGUGAAAGCCCGGGGCUCAACUCCGGGACUGCUUUUGGAACUACAUGGCUUGAUUGCAGGAGAGGCAAGUGGAAUUCCUAGUGUAGCGGUGAAAUGCGUAGAUAUUAGGAGGAACACCAGUGGCGAAGGCGGCUUGCUGGACUGUAAAUGACGCUGAGGCUCGAAAGCGUGGGGAGCAA
RNAcentral lists this ribosomal RNA (248 nucleotides) under uncultured Lachnospiraceae bacterium. Its description in RNAcentral is "partial 16S ribosomal RNA". It matches the Rfam family "Bacterial small subunit ribosomal RNA", at positions 524 to 771 of the family's 1533-position model. Lineage: Bacteria; Bacillati; Bacillota; Clostridia; Lachnospirales; Lachnospiraceae. The record is from RNAcentral.